Molecule: ribosomal RNA, 449 nt
Filed under: uncultured bacterium
Lineage: Bacteria
Description: bacterial SSU rRNA
Rfam family: Bacterial small subunit ribosomal RNA
Source: RNAcentral
GAUGAACGCUGGCGGCAGGCCUUACACAUGCAAGUCGAACGGUAACAUAGGAAGCUUGCUUCCUGAUGACGAGUGGCAAACGGGUGAGUAACACGUAAGUACUUUUCUUAAGCUUGGGAUAGCCUAUCGAAAGGUAGGGUAAUACCGAAUGUGACCGAAAGGUUAAAGGCUUCGGCCACUUAAGGCAAGGCUUGCGUCCUAUCAGCUUGUUGGUGAGGUAAUAGCUCACCAAGGCUUAGACGGGUAGCUGGUCUGAGAGGAUGAUCAGCCACACUGGGACUGCGACACGGCCCAGACACCUACGGGUGGCAGCAGUGGGGAAUCUUCGGCAAUGGGCGAAAGCCUGACCGAGCCAUGCCGCGUGCAGGAUUAAGGCAUUAUUUGUCGUAAACUGCUGUGGUAGUUAACUAAUAAAUGAAGUGACUACUAGAAAGAGGUUGCUAAUUCAG